UCAGGUAGAGCAGAGAAGCUGAAUGCAGUUUGGUUGGUGUACCUGUUGCCAUUCAUUUGGAGGAAAGUUUGCACCCUUGGUAGGCGAAGCGAGUUUCACGGUGCUCGACGAUGGAAUAAAAUUUUGCACCAGUUGAACUCUACGCUGUCUUAUUGAUGCCAAGGGCUGUAACAGACUGGGUGUGGAGCUCAAGCAAUGCCCAAGCAUGAUCCAGUUUAAAAAGCGUCAUCCAUCACUCACCUGUCCCCUGCUUCCCUGGACUGUAUCCAAAGCCCUGCAUUCCUGACCUGUGGGAAGUUGCUGAGCCCAUCCCUGGACAGAAAGACACAGGAGAAGUAUUGUGCUCAGCCUUCAGUUCACAUAUUACAACGAGCCUUACAUAACUGAUUAAAAUCAUUUAAGCUCCUUACAGACACUCAUGCUCUCUAAUAUUUCAGAUGACGGACGGUAUUAUUACAUAUGACAGUCGGAAUGGGUUCUGACUAUUCUGAUUGGUUUCCAAGUUGGUUAAAUAUCCUGUAGCACCUAGUAAUGUAAUCAUUUCCUGAAAAUGUGAUAAAAUUUGCACUUAACCUGUUCGAAAAUGUUAUAAGACCCAAUAAUAACCAAUCAUGUAAUAAAAUGAUAUUGUAAUACGAUUUUCUCUGAUAAUAAAAUACCUUUCAGGUGGCUCUUUUAUAUUUAAA
Molecule: long non-coding RNA, 686 nt
Organism: Centropristis striata (black sea bass)
Lineage: Eukaryota; Metazoa; Chordata; Actinopteri; Perciformes; Serranidae
Exons: 3
Source: RefSeq, a predicted model, not a curated record